Molecule: ribosomal RNA, 16 nt
Filed under: Varroa jacobsoni
Lineage: Eukaryota; Metazoa; Arthropoda; Arachnida; Mesostigmata; Varroidae
Also listed under: 4 other names
Description: partial 28S ribosomal RNA
Source: RNAcentral
CUGAAAUCAAGUGUGA